GGACGUGGCUCAGUGGUAGAGCAUCGCCUUGCCAAGGCGAGGGUCGAGGGUUCGAAUCCCUUCGUCCG
Molecule: transfer RNA, 68 nt
Filed under: Gorillibacterium timonense
Lineage: Bacteria; Bacillati; Bacillota; Bacilli; Caryophanales; Paenibacillaceae
Also listed under: 1 other name
Rfam family: tRNA
About the family: Transfer RNA (tRNA) molecules are approximately 80 nucleotides in length.
Source: RNAcentral